This 253-nucleotide ribosomal RNA is filed under the name uncultured bacterium. Its description in RNAcentral is "partial 16S ribosomal RNA". It matches the Rfam family "Bacterial small subunit ribosomal RNA", at positions 524 to 776 of the family's 1533-position model. The record is from RNAcentral.
UACGUAGGGCGCGAGCGUUGUCCGGAAUUAUUGGGCGUAAAGAGCUCGUAGGCGGCCUGUCGCGUCGGUUGUGAAAGCCCGGGGCUCAACCCCGGGUCUGCAGUCGAUACGGGCAGGCUAGAGUUCGGUAGGGGAGAUCGGAAUUCCUAGUGUAGCGGUGAAAUGCGCAGAUAUCAGGAGGAACACCGGUGGCGAAGGCGGGUCUCUGGGCAGUAACUGACGCUGAGGAGCGAAAGCGUGGGGAGCGAACAGG